RNAcentral lists this ribosomal RNA (371 nucleotides) under uncultured organism. RNAcentral describes it as "bacterial SSU rRNA". It matches the Rfam family "Bacterial small subunit ribosomal RNA", at positions 526 to 897 of the family's 1533-position model. The record is from RNAcentral.
CGUAGGGUGCAAGCGUUAAUCGGAAUUACUGGGCGUAAAGCGUGCGCAGGCGGUUAUGUAAGACAGAGGUGAAAUCCCCGGGCUCAACCUGGGAACUGCCUUUGUGACUGCAUAGCUAGAGUACGGCAGAGGGGGAUGGAAUUCCGCGUGUAGCAGUGAAAUGCGUAGAUAUGCGGAGGAACACCGAUGGCGAAGGCAAUCCCCUGGGCCUGUACUGACGCUCAUGCACGAAAGCGUGGGGAGCAAACAGGAUUAGAUACCCUGGUAGUCCACGCCCUAAACGAUGUCAACUGGUUGUUGGGUCUUCACUGACUCAGUAACGAAGCUAACGCGUGAAGUUGACCGCCUGGGGAGUACGGCCGCAAGGUUAA